GGGAGAUGCCCUUGAACAGGGGUAAUUCACAACUGCUGGAUUAACUUUCUAAAAUUUGGGCAAUGAUACAAGUUGGCAAGAAAGGAAGAACAUGAGAAAGGUGACAGUGUUCAGACGGUGCACGGUUUUGCAUUGGCCAAGGGAAUCUUCCUUCCCCUUCCUUUGUCUGUAGCUAAAUCUGCAGUGCAAUUGAGUUUUUGCUCUUUGUUUUAUAUCCUUGACCUUCUUUGCCUAUGGCUAAAGAUAGAGGUUGUUGGCACAGAAUGUCGGUAUAUUUAUAUCAGCUGCUUUCCCUAAACAAUUUUGCUUCCCCAGUAAUUAUUACUGGUGAAUAGCAAUGCAGCUGCAGUUAAAAGUUGUAUCAACAUUUUCCUUUAAAAGAGAAAAAGAAAUUCUGUGGAGUAUCUAUGGAGCUGUAUAAAGUAAUGAGAGACAGCAAAAUAAAUGGGCCAGCAUGUUAAUUAUGUUUGCAGCACUGCUUCCCCACAAAAAAGCUCCUGCAGUAUUUUUAAACGGGGCUUGUAAAACACAAAGGUUCCCUCUUAAGAGUCACACCUGUGUUUUAAGCCAAGCAAAUAUGUGUCUGCGCACACAUGCAGCAGUGUGGUUUGUGUGUGUGUGUGUGUGUGGCAAUACAGUUGUGAUGCUAUUGAGUGAAGAAAACAGAAUGGGCAUUGCUUGAAUUACAGAACUAAGCCACUGCACAUGACUCUUAGUGGGCUACCGCUUUCGUUGCAUGUUUUUAUAGCAAACAUCUUAUGUGUCUCAGACAUAGAAUCAUAGGAUCAUAGAACUGUAGAGUUGGAAGGGACCCUGAGGGUCAUCUAGUCCAACCCCUUUGCAAGGCAGGAAUAAUUAGCUGUCCCAUACAGGGAUCAAACCUGCAACAUGGCGGUUAUCAGUACCACGACUCACAUUGACAGAGUGGGGACAAUACUCAGUUUGGUAGCUUAAGUGCCAAUCAGGGCUGAACUGGAACUAGGGCCCUCUUGUGUAAUUCAGGGCUCAUCCACACUUCCGCUUUCCCUCUACUUUCCCCUGGGAAAACCCACUGGAAACCUGAAUUGCUGUUUGCUCCGACUGAGCACUAAAGAGCACGUUCCCCAAGGGAAAGCAGAGGGAGAAGAGGAAGUAUGGAUAAGCCCUAAGGCUACCUAGUAAAGAAAAGAUGGAGGUUUUAUUUUAAAGAAAGACUUGUCUCUUCAAAGCAGAACUCUUAGUUCCUACACCAGCUCUAAUCCUAAACACAUAGUUUGCUUUUAUUUCCUAAGGUUACAUUAUCUUGAUAUGGAAUGCUUUCAAAUAUAUUUAUGAUUUUUAAAAUAGUAUGAAAGAUAUGCAUAUUGCAAGAUAGAUAGAAAUAGAUAUGAUUUACAUAUGUAGCUUAUAGACAGUUUUCACGAGGCUCCCACCCACCACCCAUAUGGUGUGACAGGCGGGACUGGGAGCUGGUAUGUUCAAGUUGUGAAGAUGAACAUACUACAGAUGAAGACCCUUUUGUGACUGACUGCUCCUAAAAUCCUACAUCUGUCUUCACCCUAAACUAUAUAUUAUUUACACCUUCUGCAAUGCAGAGAAUUAUAAAAGCCUUAGCAUAAUCCCCCCCCAAAAAAGGAACUCUUAAAAGAGCAUUUUCUGUUAAGAUGAGGCUUGAGUUACAGUCUUGCAGAGCAUAAUGGGAUAAUCAGUACAGAGUCUGAAUUACCCAGAUGUGAGCAUUACAUUAUGAAUCCCCAGAUCUUAGCAGGGAGAGAGAGCAUUUGAAACAGAGAAUGGGAAAGUUGGCAGGGAAACAGAUAGCAAAAGAAUACACGGUCAAUGAAGUAAAGAUUAUCAUCAGGACUUCAUUUCUUACAGGAGGCUUCAAUAUGGCUCUAGUCACUCUGUAAGAACAUGGUUUAUAGGCUGCAAUAAUGCUUUGAAGCUUUCUACAAGCUAUGUAAUAUAUAUACACACCUAAAUCCCAAAGAUGCACCACUGUGUAUUUUCCACUUUCUACUUAAUCUCAGGAAAUUCUAAACCGAGGGGGGGAAAGAGAGCGCCCGCCUUUUCAUCCACUACGGCUGCAAUCUUCCAUGUAAGAAUGACACUCGGAAAACUCGCAUGCAGCAAGAUUGUGUAGCACAGCUGUGAGCUGAAAAGACGUCUGGCUUAGAAGAGCAGCCAGCAGCCUGAUAUCACAUAUGUCCUGUAAGGCGGUACCAUUUUGAGCUGCAGGUGGGGAAAUGGAUGGCUUGAAUUCUCUCCCCACUCCCACCCCCCACUAAUGCUCUUCAUAUUCCUGUACUACAACUAGUACAACUAGUUUAACAGAAGGGUGAUUGAUUGACAGUAAAGGGCUAGCACUCUGCUCAGCCCUUGAAAGUGGACUUUUGGGUAGAUCCACUCCAUGCUCUCCAUGCCACAGACGAGAUUAGAAGGGGGAGGGAUCUUGUGCAUUUGCAACAUCCCUCUCCUCCCAUCAAUGGUCACCUGCUAAGCCUGCCUCCUUUCAUUACACACUGUUGUAUCCUGAAGUAUCUUCCUUUGCUUGGGACAAUUUGUUUAACACAGGAUUGGGAAAGAAUGAAAAUUGUAGUCCAGUCACACCUGCAGGGUUACAGGUUCCCCAUCCCUUUAUCAUGAUUUAUGAUUUUGCUAUUUAUGUAUUUCUAAGUGUGGGCUAUUUAUAUUCUCUGAACUACUUUGAGCACAAAUUUGUGAAACAUGCAGAAUAUAAAUGAAUGGAUUAGUUGACAAGCCAUACAAAUAAAUACCUACCCUGCAUGUAAAACCUUAUUUGGGUUCACGUCAGGGAAAGCCCACAUCACGAAGCAUCUCAGGGCUAAACUACAUGUUACUUCAAUCACAUAGUUCCCCCUCAAGAAAUUGCCAGUGUUGCCUUCACCCACUCCUGAUCUGGAAUGGGACCCUAGUGUGGAGGACAGAUGGUUUUGGCCCAGGUCCAGGUGACCUCACUGCACCUGCUAUUUGGGUGAGGGAAAGCCCACAAUUUGGUCCAAUUGCUUCCAUCACACAAAUAAUAAACACAAAUAGUCAAAGAGAAAUCAGUGUUCCUCCAGUCCAGUGGGCACGAUGCCUUAACUUUAAUAACAGUGUCUCCGAAAAAUCUUACACAUCACUUGGGAAGACAGGCGAACAAAUAUCUGUGUACUGGAUGAAGCAAAGAUCACCAGUGUUGAAGCAAUGAUUCUUCAACAUCAACUUCGUUGGACUGGUCAUGUUGUGCGGAUGCCUGAUGAUCGUCUUCCAAAGCAACUACUCUAUUCCGAACUUAACAAUGGAAAGCGUAAUGCUGGUGGUCAACAAAAGAGUUUUAAAGACUGUCUCAAGGCAAAUCUAAAAAAAUAUAGUAUAAACACCGACAACUGGGAAACACUGGCCUGCGAGCCCUCCAGUUGGAGAACAGUCUUUACCAAAGGUGUCAUGGACUUUGAAGACACUUGAACUCAGAACGCAAGGGAGAAACAUGCCAAGAAGAAGGCACACUUGGCAAACCCUCACCAUGAUCAAUUCCCGCCCGGAAACCUAUGUCUCCACUGUGGUAGGAUGUGUGGAUCCAGAAUUGGCCUCCACAGUCACUUACAAACUCAUUGUUAAAACCGUGUUUAUGGAAGGCAAUCUUACUCGGCUACAAGUGAUCGCCAAAGAAGAAGAAGAACUUUAAUACAGAAAACAUCAUUGUUGGAUUCCAAAUUAAUCAGUCACGAAGAACUACAGCUACUCAAUUAGAUAGUCACUAUCAAAGCCAUGGAUUCGUAGAGGAACUGCAUGCUUCUGGGCCAAAUCCAGCUAAUUGGGGGCGUGGGGCAAUGCAUGAUCUCCCCACUUGCCAAAAGAAUGAAAAGGGGCUAUGGAGGGAAUAGCAGACUCAGGAGUGCUAGCUAGUCAUUUUGGAGGAUUGGAAUUAAGGCCUUGUCCUCCCCGCCGACCUUAGUUUCUUAUCAGGAGGUGAGGAUGGCCCCAUGAACAGGGCGAUUAGAGAGCAUUUAGAGUUAACUAAUCUAUUCAAUUUAAAAGACUAUGUACCCUUGUGAUAAUUCUGAUGUGAGGCUGUAGCUUAUAACCAUUGAUCAGCUGGGGUAGCUUAACCCCUGUAUUUUAAAAAAGAGAAACCUCCCCCCGUGUAUGGAUGCUUCAUACCAUGACACAUUCAAGCACAAAAUUUCACCUUUUUUAUUUUCUGUAAUCUUUUUCGCACCGUCUGGACUGAAUAUUGUCUUUUAGAGCACUGCCUUGCAAACCUCCUGCUGAUUUCUUACUUUGGCGCUAAAGCAAAAGCAAAUGUCAAGCAACCCAAGUCAUAAACUUGUAGAUGUUGCAGUAUUUAUAUACUAAUGCUUAGACGAUAGGAUUCAAUUAUCGACAUUUGGAAGAGGCAUCCUUUUUGCUGCCGCAUAAUACUACUCUCAAAAAACUGUUAGGUCCGAGAAAGCGGGGGUGGGGGGCAUUAUGGGUCUGAACUUCAUAGUAAUUAGUAGUAGCAAUUGCUAUCUUCCCACUCUCCACCUGUGAAAAGUCUCUAUAGGGUACAUGAAUUUGAUUAAUGUAAAGUUGAGAACAUUUGUUCCUUUUUUGGUAUACAAAAUCACCAUCUGUGCAAAGAAGCAAAGACCUCUGUUAACAGAUUUCAGUCUAGGAUGCCAACUUUUUUUAAUUUUAAUAGGAUUGGAGGGGGGCAAUUGCUACCCCGUACCACCCCUGGUGGAGUAUACAGGGUUCUGGGGGCGGGGCAGAGUGGGCGGGGCAUAGAAACAAUAAAUCACAUGGUAGAAAGGGUUCAACGGCCAUUCAUUUAGCACCCCCAACAAGUGACCAUCUGUAGCUGGUGGGCUCCAUUCAGCAUUCUGGGUGACAGGUGGUCCCAGCCUGGUUUCUAUCUUGUCAUAUGAACAAUUACCCGCUUCCCUUUUCUAAUAUGGUGCAAGUACUCAGAGCUCUGUCACAUUUCAUUCCAUCGGGAUAAUUGCAUUUGCCAAGCUUUUUACUACACUUCUCCAUUCUAUUUCCCAAAGUGUGCGUCUGGGAAAUCAAGCGGAAACAGAAAUGUUAUUAUUGGUAAACCAUUAUAAUACUGACACCAUGUAAAAAGAAGCUGCUCUGAAUAGCAGGGUGAUGUCGCUGGAAGUCGAAGGGGUGGGGAACUGAGACGCUGCCUGAUGCACCAGCCUGACAGAAAAUGAAACUGUUUUAAACCACGGCCCUGAUUCUACCAAGUUCACUCAGAGUCCCACACGAAGUGAACCAGAGGGUGUUACUAUUCAAAAGAUAAAAACCCAUCAAGUUUGAGAGAGGAGGUGGAACGUUCCUCUUAGACAUGGGUAGGCAAACUAAGGCCCAGGGGCCAGAUCCAGCCCAAUCGCCUUUUAAAUCCGGCCCCUGGACGGUCCGGGAAUCAGCGUGUUUUUACAUGAGUAGAAUGUGUCUUUUUAUUUAAAAUGCAUCUCUGGGUUAUUUGUGGGGCAUAGGAAUUUGUUCAUUUUUUCCCCUUCAAAUAUAGUCCGGCCCCCCACAAGGUCUGAGGGACUGUGGGCCCCCUGCUGAAAAAGUUUGCUGACCCCUGCAUCUUAGAUUAGGCUCCUGGCUUUGUGUGUGUGUGUGUGUGUGUGUGUGUGUGUGUGUGUGUGUGUAUUGGGGGACGGCAGUGGACAUUCAACACUUUGAAUUGUGCUCAGAAAUGUACUGUGAGCCAAUGUAGGUCUUAUGUGGUUUCGGCGGCCGCUCCCCGUCACCAGUCUAGCUGCCACAUUCUGGAUUAGUUGUAGUUUCCAAGUCACCUUCAAAGGUAGCCCCACGUAGAGCGCAUUGCAGUAGUCCAAGCAGGAGAUAACUAGAGCAUGCACCACUCAGGUGAGACAGUCCAUGGGCAGGUAGGGUCUCAGCCUACGUACCAGAUGGAGCUGGUAGACAGCUGCCCUGGACACAGAAUUGACCUGGGCCUCCAUGGACAGCUGUGAGUCCAAAAUGACUCCCAGGCUGCACACCUGGUCCGUCAGGGGCACAGUUACCCCAUUCAGGACCAGGGAGUCCCCCACACUCACCCGCCCCCUGUCUCCCAAAAACAGUACUUCUGUCUUGCCAGGAUUCAACCUCAAUCUGUUACAACCUGCUGUUAGUCUGCAAAUUUCUAGGUGACCCCUGUAAUCAUGGCAGAUUUCUUAUUGUCCUCUUUUAUUAUUUGAUUUGAACACCAAUUCAGGAAAAUGACUUUUAUUUUUAGUUUAGCUGGAGGCAGUGUAUGCUAAUUGUAGGAGCAAUCAACUGGGAGAUGAAUACCUAUUUAAUUUUUGCUAGUGUGUUACUCUGGAACCUAGUUUAAGGGGGCAAUACUAUGGCAAGAUCUGCUGGCAUGAGCAGCUUAGGGCACAACAAAUCUCCAGCUCAGGUGACCCAUUCCAAGCUCAGCCAGCGUUAAGUCCACAACCCCAGCUCAGCCUAAGGCGUAACUUGCUCAGCCAAAACGGCAGCUCACAGUAAGCCCCCCAAAAGUGGUGUUCCAGGGUAAUUGGGGGUGGGGGAAGUUUGGCUAGAUUCAAACGUGUUUAGUUCAAUCACGUGAUCUGGCAACCACAUAAAACACUAUUUUAAAAGCUUGCUUUCCUUCUACCAGGUUUAAGGAGAAAAGUACGAGGAGCCCCACAGCAAAACCUUGUAACCUGGUGUUCUGGUAUUAAGUUAAACCCCAUAUUUAAGCUAGUGUUGUGCCUAUGUUCUGCCAAGCGAUCACAUCAAGGUGAAAUGUUGGGGUUGUGUCACACAAAUCAUCAGAGCCGUCUUUCCCAUUGGGCUUAGUGGUUCAUUGCGCCAGGGCGCCGGCCUCUCUGGGGCGCCCCUGAGAGUGGGGGAGCUGCGUGGCUUUGCCGGUGGCCUCCCCUUUCCUUGCACGCCCGCCAGCUGUGCCCCACCAACCAUAUGGCUGGGGGACAUGCAGCUUGCCUCCCCAGUCCCUGGGGGUUUCGCUCUCCUCCCGCGGAGGCUUGGGAAGGAAGCUGCACGCCUGCCAGCCAUAUAGUUGGGAGGGUACAGCUUCCUUCCCAAGCCUCCGUGGGAGGAGAGUGAUCCCCACAGAGGCUUGGGGAAAGGUCAACAACUCUGGGAAACGGGGGGUGGGGCGCCGGAGGGAUCUUUGCACCACGGCGCCGGAUAUGCUUAAGACGGCCCUGCAAAACAUCACCCUGACUGUGUCAUGACUUCACUUCUUUUGUAACUUUCACAGACUUUGCAGCUCACAGAAAAUCUUAUUGCAGUGCAUUAAGGGAAUUUUCCCCACAUUGCCUGAAGAGCAACACAAGUGCCCUUCUCUUCCUCAAAACCAGACAGCCAAGCACCAGAGAUUAGGAGAGAGUUGUCCAGAUGACCAGGUCGCUCAUUGGAUGAGCAAGGAGGAAUCGGUAGCUCCCUUCCUUGGAUGAUGCGUGUCAAGCAUUUGAUGAGCAGGAAGCAGCAAUACAGGGAUCAGCUCAGCAAGGGGAAGCUGCGUGUUUCUCUGUGUGUGAGGAUGCAUGUGCACCCUUAUUGUGCAUGUGUCACACCCAUACUGACCCCAGAGGGUCAGCCAAGGGUGAAUGCCACCCUCAUAUGAAAAAGGUUAGCCAUUCCUGGCUUAAAUAUUAAUACAACAAACUUGUUUCCUUUUUUUAAAAAAAUACAAAGCUAAGGCCGUCUUAGUGUACUAAAGCUAAAUUCUCCAAGCUGAGGGACUUAGCCUGGUGCCUGGAAGCCAGUGGGAUAUUGGUCCUCUUGCGAAAACACCAUGCAGUCCUUUUGCUGUGCGGUUGUGGAAUCACUUAGGGUGUCCCUGAAGACAGCAGCAAACAUUUCCUUAUCUCAUUUCUCAGCUCAGUUCUGCAAUUUGAACCAUUAUGCUUCCCAUUUUGAAGAAGAACCAAUGUAUGCAUAUCACUCAAGGGCAACAGUCUUCAUUACUUUCCCCUUGAUGACUGAAAGUGUUAACCAGCUCUACUGAAAAGCACUGUGUGUGCCCCAAGAUGAUGUGGACAUCCUAUCUGGGCUUGAUGGCCUAGUAAAAAAAUGCGAGCCGACUCUUGAAGUUGCAGUUUUCAAAUCAUGAACAUGGAUGUGUAAAUCAGACCAUAUGCUAUGAGAAACAUUCCUAGCAGAGGUAAUGAUUAAGCUGAGGACUGAGAUUAAAGGUACAUCUAUCUCAAAGGUGAAUCCGCUGGGAUAAUUGAAAUUUCGGCACAAUUUAAAUAUGGAUGCUGAGCACAUUAUCCAUGUGAAUUACCAUGUACCAGCCAUUUAAUUUAAAUUGGAUCUUCUUGCUUGUGUGUGCCAUAUUAGGAUGCCAGUAUAGUUCCUGCCCAGGCCAGAGCCCUGGCAUGCUAACAAGCCAUAUGCAAGGUAGGCCAUCUGGAUGAGUGCAGAAGGUCUUAUCUAUCACCUUUUUUUUAUUACUGGAGUUCAGGCAUGAAUGCCAAUGCUUUUGUUAGGCAGACUGACACCCCCCAUGCACAAAAAGGAAGGUACCAACAGACUCAGGAGCUGUGAGCAUACUCAGUGGCCAUGAAAUAGUCACAGUCUGCUAGCAGGUGUGGAGGAAGGAGUAAUGGAAAACUAUGUGGGAGGAGGACUGAAAUGGAGUAUGCUGGCAGAGGGCAUGGCUGACUCUCCAAAAUGAGCAGUGAACUGGAGCAUUCCACAGGCAACAGGCUGUUGCAGAUCUCAUUUGUUGGUCUGUACCAGGAGUAGGAAAUGUGGUGCUCCACCAAAUGUUGUUAGACUACAACUCCCAUCAUUUGUCACCACUGGCCAUUAUGGCUGGUGCUAAUGGGUGCCACAUUGCACCCAUCUGGUCUAUACUGUGAAUGCCCAUUGCUUUGCAUUAUGUGGCAGUAUGAGCCCUGCCCUUGGAUGAAUCGGGCCAAAAGUCCAUGAAAUCCAGCAUGGUGUCAGCCAAUGCCUCUGGGGAGCUCAGAAGCAGGACUUACAAGGCAACCCAAACUUCUGCCGGUUUGUCCUCCCAUCUAGUAUUCUGAUCUGCCUUUGAAUGUGUAGGUUCCACUUAGCCAUCACAGCUAAUAGCUGUUCACAGAGCUCGGCGUAUGUAUGCAUUAUGGAUUUUUCUUUUCUGCACCCCAAAGAUUACUGCAACUUUUCAAAGAAGUGAAAUAAAGAAUGACAACCUUGAUUAUCUAGCAAAAACAUAAUUGUAUUAUAUUAUGUGAGAAGUGUUUGGAGAUGGUGUACAAGAUAAACAAUAAGACUGAAGGGUAAUUACCACAUUAUUAUUCUGGCAGAUGUGUGCAUGCCCAACCCUGGCAAGGUUUGGUCCCAAAGGAAUAUUUCAAAUUCUCUGGGAGCUGAAUUUAUGGCAGCCUGAUUGAUUGCUUAUCCUGUUGAAAUUAUAGCAGGAUGCUUUCUUUCUUUCUUUAGCUAUGAUCUGUCCAUUGAACGGCGCUGUUCAUUACCAGGGUGACAUGCCGAUUCCACAUUCCUUUGCGUUUUUGCAAAAUGUCACAACAAUAUUUAACAACUGUGGCAGAGUGAGGAAUGAGAGAAAGCUGGGCAGUUCAGAAGAACCGAGGCACUGAAUGUGGAUGGUAGGCAGGGAACAGGGGGGAAAGGAGUUUCUCAAGCUUCUGGUUCAGGAAGCACCCAGUUUGGCCAAAUGGAUAUCGGUGGCACACUUCACUCUUGCAGUUGAGGAGCUGGCUGAUCAGAUAUGUACCUUGUGGUUGGAAAGAGACAAGCUGAAAGCAGCAGCUGCUGCUGUACAGACCACACAAAUUCCAGGUAUAUACACACCACUGCUUCAGCCAAUCACAGUUCCCUAAUACUUGAGCAAUACUUGUGUCUUCAGAUACCUGUUCAUUGUAUUCCCAUCUUGCAUGUUUAGACUUACAAAAUCUUAGAUGUACUCUGAAAUAAUUGUGUGAACUAGCCAUUUACAUGGUCAUUCAUCUACAUUUAUUAGUGGCUGACUGAUGCCUUUCUGUUGUUUUCCUCACUUCUCCCUGUUAGGUCCCCCUCUAUAUACUGCUCAUCAUUUCUUUUUGAUGCAUCUGCAGAGGGCAGUUCUGCCAGCAGGACUCCUAGCCAGCACCCAAAAAAGGAAGGUUCAGUGUCCUUGUUUUACCUGCAGGCACUUUCCUUCAAGUGACAGCCAAAAGACAGAGCCUUGGGGGUGUCAUCUGUUGUUUGGCUAUCAGUUACUGGCUGCAGCAGAAGGGAUGGUAGGAGGUUAGAAGGCCAGACUUUUGUAGAAUCCCCAAAUCG
Non-coding RNA from Podarcis lilfordi (Lilford's wall lizard), 10236 nucleotides. NCBI's taxonomy places the organism in Eukaryota, Metazoa, Chordata, Lepidosauria, Squamata, Lacertidae. The record is from the annotation of a GenBank genome assembly.